GUAUCUGCAUAUCUUUGGUAAACAUAGAUAGCCUUCGAGGGUGAUACACAGGUACUGCAUGGCCGUCGUCAGCUCGUGUCGUGAGAUGUAGGGUUAAGUCCCGAAACGAGCGCAACCCCUAUCCCAUGUUACAAGUGUCUUGGGAAACUGCCUCGGUAAAACGAGGAGGAAGGUGGGGAUGACGUCUGGUCCGCAUAGUCCUUAUGUCCUGGGCUACACACGCGCUACAAUGGUCGGUACAAUGGGCAGCCAAGCCGUAAGGCGGAGCUAAUCCUGUAAAACCGAUCUCAGUUCGGAUUGUGGGCUGAAACUCGCCCACAUGAAGUUGGAUUCGCUAGUAAUCGUGGAUCAGCCAUGCCACGGUGAAUACGUUCUCGGGUCUU
RNAcentral lists this ribosomal RNA (383 nucleotides) under uncultured candidate division WS6 bacterium. RNAcentral describes it as "bacterial SSU rRNA". It matches the Rfam family "Bacterial small subunit ribosomal RNA", at positions 988 to 1382 of the family's 1533-position model. The record is from RNAcentral.